AACUUCGGUUAUAAGAUCCCUCAAAGAUGAUGAGGUUAAUAGGUUCGAGGUGGAAGCAUGGUGACAUGUGGAGCUGACGAAUACUAAUCGAUCGAAGACUUAAUCAAA
RNAcentral lists this ribosomal RNA (108 nucleotides) under Staphylococcus aureus. RNAcentral describes it as "partial 23S ribosomal RNA". It matches the Rfam family "Bacterial large subunit ribosomal RNA", at positions 2815 to 2925 of the family's 2925-position model. Lineage: Bacteria; Bacillati; Bacillota; Bacilli; Caryophanales; Staphylococcaceae. The record is from RNAcentral.